AUUGAACGCUGGCGGCAUGCUUUACACAUGCAAGUCGAACGGCAGCGCGGGGGCAACCCUGGCGGCGAGUGGCGAACGGGUGAGUAAUGCAUCGGAACGUAUCCUGUAAUGGGGGAUAACGUAGCGAAAGUUACGCUAAUACCGCAUACGCUCGAGAGAGGAAAGUGGGGGAUCGCAAGACCUCACGUUAUAGGAGCGGCCGAUGUCCGAUUAGCUAGUUGGUGGGGUAAAGGCCUACCAAGGCGACGAUCGGUAGCUGGUCUGAGAGGAUGAUCAGCCACACUGGGACUGAGACACGGCCCAGACUCCUACGGGAGGCAGCAGUGGGGAAUUUUGGACAAUGGGCGCAAGCCUGAUCCAGCCAUUCCGCGUGCAGGAUGAAGGCCUUCGGUUGUAACCCUUUCAGUAGGACGAAGCGCAAGUGACGGUACCUGCAGAAGAAGACACCGGCCAACUAACGUG
This 462-nucleotide ribosomal RNA is filed under the name uncultured bacterium. RNAcentral's name for it is "bacterial SSU rRNA". It matches the Rfam family "Bacterial small subunit ribosomal RNA", at positions 29 to 507 of the family's 1533-position model. The record is from RNAcentral.